AGUGAACGCUGGCGGCGUGCUUAACACAUGCAAGUCGAACGAGAACGGAUUAUAGCUUGCUAUAAUUGUCAGCUAAGUGGCGCACGGGUGAGUGAUGUAUAGGUAAUAUGCCUCUUACUAAGGGAUAACAAAUGGAAACGUUUGCUAAUACCUUAUACUCCUUAUUAACAUAAGUUAAUAAGGGAAAGAUUUAUUGGUAAGAGAUUAGCCUGUAUUGUAUCAGUUAGUUGGUGGGGUAAUGGCUUACCAAGACUAUGACACAUAACUGGUUUGAGAGGAUGAUCAGUCACGCUGGAACUGAGACACGGUCCAGACUCCUACGGGAGGCAGCAGUGGGGAAUAUUGCACAAUGGACGAAAGUCUGAUGCAGCAACGCCGCGUGGAGGAUGACACAUUUCGGUGCGUAAACUCCUUUUAUAUGAGAAGAUAAUGACGGUAUUAUAUGAAUAAGCACCGGCUAACUCCGUGCCAGCCGCCGCAGUAA
This 484-nucleotide ribosomal RNA is filed under the name uncultured bacterium. RNAcentral describes it as "partial 16S ribosomal RNA". It matches the Rfam family "Bacterial small subunit ribosomal RNA", at positions 29 to 523 of the family's 1533-position model. The record is from RNAcentral.